This is an RNA transcript of Hemicordylus capensis (graceful crag lizard), 9246 nucleotides long. It is a transcript of the gene named zinc finger and BTB domain containing 7C, with no coding region annotated. The record is from RefSeq and is a predicted model, not a curated record. Lineage: Eukaryota; Metazoa; Chordata; Lepidosauria; Squamata; Cordylidae. The transcript has 4 exons.
GCUUCCCCCACAUACCGCCAAGGCUUUAGUACAGGUGGACAGCCAGGGCAAGGUGCCAAAUUCUUUUGGUUUAGAGGGAGUGGUGGGAGGGAAGCCUCCGAACCGCUCCUAGAAGGGCUUAACUUGCCUUCUUUCAAAUGUGGGACAACCUACUACAUUCUGCUCCGGACUCUCAGGGAGAAUGGUUUUUUUGCAGAUGUCUUAUUAAAACAGAGGAGUGAAUUUUAUGAUCGUAGGCACCAGAGCAAAGUGGUGGAAAGAGUUGGAAAGGGCUCUAAAUGAGAAUAUGGCCAAUGGCAUUGAAGACCUUAUUGGGAUUCCAUUCCCAAACCACAGCAGCGAGGUCCUCUGUGGCUUAAACGAGCAGCGGCACAAUGGUCUCCUCUGUGACGUCAUCCUCAUUGUCCAAGACCAAGAAUACAGGACCCACAAGUCUGUCCUGGCUGCUUGCAGCCAGUAUUUUAAGAAACUUUUCACUACCGGCACUUUAGCAGACCAGCCCUAUGUUUACGAGAUUGACUUUGUCAAGCCUGAAGCACUUUCGGCAAUCCUAGAGUUUGCCUAUACCUCGACCCUGACCAUCACCACCUCGAACGUCAAGCACAUCCUUAAUGCGGCCAAGAUGUUGGAGAUUCAGUGCAUUAUCAACGUAUGCCUCGAAAUCAUGGAGCCCAGUGAGGAAGAAGAAGAUGAGAAGGAGGAGGAAGAGGAGGAAGAGGAUGAUGAUGAAGAAGAGGAAGAGGAGGAGGAGGAGGAAGUAGAAGACUUUGCUAACCAGAACUUGACGGAUGUCCAAGACGUGAACUGUCACCAAAGUCCUUCCAAAUCUGACCUUGCUGAAGAAGCAUAUACAGAAACACCCAGGGGUUUCCCCAACCACUUCCCGGCCAAUAGCUCCAAUGGUUCCCUGGGUGUGAUAAGAGACUUCUCCAUUGAGUCCCUUCUAAGGGAAAACCUGUACCCUAAAGCUAGCAUUCCAGAACGGAGACCAGCUCGGACUCCGUUUGUGCCCGACCUCUUCCCUCACCUGUGGAACGGAGACUUUGGCACCUUCUCCCAAGUAGAGGAGCAGCAAGUGGACAAUGGCCCAUUGGACCUGGUGAUCCGAAAGAGAAAGAUCAAAGAGGAGGAGAAGGAAGAUCCCCCUCCUGCUCAGUUCCCAAAUGACAUCUUCAAGGACAUCUUUGCUAACAAUCCAGUGGGCCCCCUGGGACACAUCAAGGCAGAAAACGAUUAUAGUGCUUACCUGAACUUUCUCAGUGCUGCCCAUUUUGGGGGAGUUUUUCCUCGGUGGCCGGAAGAAAGGAAGAUCAAGCCUAAAGCUUCUCAGCAGUGCCCCAUCUGCAACAAAAUCAUCAUGGGAGCAGGAAAGCUGCCGCGGCAUAUGAGGACCCACACGGGAGAGAAGCCAUAUAUGUGCAAUAUCUGUGAAGUUCGAUUUACCAGGCAAGACAAGCUGAAGAUCCACAUGCGCAAGCACACCGGGGAAAGGCCCUACCUCUGCAUCCACUGCAAUGCCAAAUUUGUCCACAACUAUGACCUAAAGAACCACAUGCGCAUCCACACGGGCAUCCGUCCCUACCAGUGCAAGUUCUGCUACAAGAGCUUCACCCGCUCCGACCACCUGCACCGCCACAUCAAGCGCCAGAGCUGCCGGAUCUCCCGGCCUCGGAGGGGGCGUAAGCCGGCCACCUGGAGAGCGGCCAGUUUGCUCUUCGCGCAGAACGGCCAGCCGGACGACAAGAGCUUCAUGAUGCCUCCCGCUCUGGAGGAGAUGAGCGGCCACCUCGGCAACGCAGCCGUGUGCCUUCCGGGCCCCAGCCCUAAGCAUUUCAUGGACAGGGCCAAGAACACUCUGAAUUUGCAAGAGCUGGAGAGCCAGUUUGAGGAAACCGAAAUGAAGCUCUUUGGGAGGACACACCUGGACAUGGAGCGGAACGGCAGCCUCUUUGCCUUUGCUCUGGGCCACAACGAGAGCCUCUCGGCACGGCCCUUUUUCUCUCUCCCUGACCCAUGGGGUACGGGGUUCAGCGGACUGACGGGACUCAACCACCUUGCCCCCAUUUCUGAAGCUAGCAACUAAGCUGCCUUCUGUCCAGUGGAUGGUUUGGGUACGUUCCAUGCCAUGUUUAGCAGGGCCAGCCCUAGCAUGAGGCAGGGGGAGACAGUUUCUUCAGGCAGCAUAUUUGGGGUGACAUCAAAGUCGAGCCAUUUAUCAAUUGUUUAACUUAUUCUUAAAAUAGUAUCUUCACCACAACAGGAGGGGUACCAUAUUUUCCACUACAAGCUCCAAACUGUCUUGGGCCACUCUUUAUACAGAGCAGCCAUCUCCCCCUGGUUCUUGCCUAGGUUUUCACCUGGCCAUCUCAGUCUCAGCACCGAAGAAGGAUUACUCUAUUUCCUACAUGUAAAAAAAGGUUAUACCGGAAUGUGGAUAGGGAUGCACAUUUGAAUGCAGAUCCCAUUGAAAGCAAUGGAGAGUGGAUCAGUAGCAUCCACCCUUGGAUAAGCAUCCUGACAAACAGAGUUGGGCUGUUUUCCAUGUGGUCUGAAACAUAUGCACUCUUCAGAGCCGCUUUGGUUUUCUCUUGCAAAGAGGCCCCUUCAUGGAUCAAAGACUUUUUUAAAACUGAAAGACAAUGAUAAAACAGCCUCCCUGAACUGCCUGACCUGGUUUAAAAUUCACCAAAAGACUCCUCUUCUCUGCACCAAACAAAUGGGGGUGGGGAGGGAGAAAAUCAGAACUUUUCCAAAUCAGCAUCAUUUUUUUUUAAAUGUACAGAGAUCUUUCUGAACUACUGUUUUGCAGAUGAUGGUUUCCUUCAGGUUUUUGUUUUUGGCCCACAUUUUGGAGUCCUUGUAACAUAUCCAAAGAUUUUGAGUACUGUAUAAUCGACAAUAACUUGAAGCAAAAGAAACUUUUUUUUUUUUUGGUUAAAUUUCCUGUUUGUCGGGAUGGGAUGUGGUAGGGAGGGUGGGAUUGGGAAAUCCUUUGGAAUUUUUUUUCUAUUUAUAACUAUUUUUAUGUGAUUGCUUUAUGUAAAGAAAAAGAGAGAGAAAACCCACAUAAAACAGAUCUGCCUUAGUUAAUCACGGGACAAUCAUCCUUAACUUUUGUUGGAAGUUCCAGAUUUUUCUUUUAAAAGACAAGGAAAAAAACACUUUUAUGUAUUUAUUAAGCAGUAUUAAUUGAUUUUAUUAAAUUAUUGACAACAUGCAGGGUUUUUUAAAAUGCACAUUAGUAAAACAUUGGGAGGGUCAAGGUCAUUCACACAUUACCAGACAGCAAAUCAGAGUCUGUUGCUGGGUGUACAUUCAACAUGGAAUCAGGGCCUAUUUUGCCUCUCUCUGCUCCGUGUGAUUCAUGUGUUUGCAAGCAUGGUGGUUGCAUCCACACUUUAUAUUUUUAGCUACACACUUAAAACAUCUUAGGAGCACACCUAGGAAACGUAAUGUGUGGAUGGGUCUUGCCACAUUUCAAAAUUGCAGACAAGGUAAACUCACAUGCUGACAUGUAAUGUCUUUCUGUUUCAUUGAGGUAUACAUAAAUUGGGCUGGUCUUAAAAGCCUUUGACAUAUGUCUUUUGCACCUUAUGAGACUGUUGAUUGUUAAAGGGGACAAUGGAUGCUGAUUGUUGCUAUUGAGCAUGAGUUAAGGUUGAUUGCCCUAGAUGAUUUCAUUUGGGUUAUUUGUUAACUGGCUCAUGGCUGGCUUCAUUUUCUGGUUGAAGGAAUAUUACAGUUUUUCAUGUUCUUGCAGUUUCUUGACACUUCACUAUAAUACAGCAGUGUCAGGCCACUGGAACUGUGCACUUACAGUUGCCUGUUGAUUCAGCGGGGGGAUACCCCAUUGCCCAGUUCUUUUUUGUGAUCAGUUUUCUUUGGUGCCUGGCAUCUCGAUACCUGCAAAUCUCUGUGUUCAUUUGUUUUGCUCAGAUAAUUGCUUUAACCCAUGUUUAUGGAGAUACAUUUGAAAACCUGCAAAAUGGACAGGCGUUCACCUCCUCCGUUCUGUGGACCCUAGUGGAUGUGGGUGCUCUGAUGUGUAUGCAGAGCUCCUUAGUCCAUAAGGGCUUCUCCGUUCGCUUCAGCGGAGGUGGCAGCUUGUGAUCCACCCACACACCUUGGACCUCAGUCUAGCUACAGUAUGUGCUCCACAUAACUACCAUGGCAGGCGAAAGCAACGGUGAGACAGUUAUGAGUGGUCAUCGCCUUCCUUUCCCCACUCUGUUUCAGUCAAAAGCAGCUGCUGCCAGAGAGCUCAAUGAAAACAGUAGAGAAUGAUUGCAGACAAGGUGAAAAGCUAGGUGCUGCUAGGGGCAUACAGGAGAUCUCUCCUUCGGGGGUGAGUGGAGGCCAGAACUGGAGCUCCACUCCUGACACACCGUGGCUUCUCCUCACUGCCAGAACCAAAGGACUCUGCAGGGACAGGCAGAGAGGGCUGCCUGAUGUGCAGGAACUCUACUGGCCCAUAGAGUACUAUCUGCUUUUUCUAGGAAUACUUCCAGUGUAGGGGUGCAGGCAACUGCUGAGCAGGGGGGCUUCCUAUAAAUGUCACUGGUGUUAGGAAGGCAGGAGACUCUCUUCCUAACAUCCACUGUCCAGCAGAUGGAGUUGUCCAGAGAGGAGAGCUGGUCUUGUGGUAGCAAGCAUGACUUGUCCCCUUAGCUAAGCAGGGUCUGCCCUGGUUUCAUGUGAAAGGGAGACUAGAUGUGUGAGCACUAUAAGAUAUUUCCCUGAGGGGAUGGAGCCACUCUGGGAAGAGCAGAAGGUUCCCAGUUCCCUCCCUGGCAGCAUCUCCAAGAUAGGGCUGAGAGAGAUUCCUGCCUGCAACCUUGGAGAAGCCACUGCAGUCUGUGAAGACAAUACUGAGCUAGAUAGACCAAUGGUCUGACUCAGUAUAUGGCAGCUUCCUAUGUUCCUGUGACUUGUGGUGGUUGAAAUCAAGGGGCAUCAGCAGACUUACACCUCUGUUGGAUUGUGGCUUCUGUACUCUGCAUAGCUCCCUGUCUCCCCCCAUGAUGGCUUCCGGUCAUGUUACCCUACCUAGAACCAAUCACGGCCCAUCAUUUGCUUCCUACCUUGAGGCCAAUCAGUCCAUGAUUUGUUUGGCAAAAAUAAAAAAUAAAAAUGGAUAAAGGUAUUUCCAGACAGUUUGAAAAUGGAUGUUGACUUUUUGCUUUUCCAUUCCUAUUCGCGUUGCCUACUUCCCUGUCACGCAGUUUUGUGUCACCAUCUGCUGGCCAUUUGCAGGCAAUCUGUGAUGGAAAUUAAAGUACUUUUUCAAGUAGUCUCCAAAUUAAAAAAAAGUAAAAAAUGGUGAUGUCCAUCCUGGAUUGCCCACAAAUGGUCAGCAGAUAGUGCUGCACACUUGUGUGACGGGAAAAGGGAGUGGAUAAACAGAAAGACGUUGCAGGCUUAUGCAGAACAUUAUAAAUAGCACUGUGUUGAUCCCUCAUUGGAGGGAGGGAUCUUAGAGGACUGGGGCUUGUGGGAGCACUUACUGACUGAGAGCCAGCAAAUGGUUGUGUCUAAUGGACUUGAUGGGUUUUGUGAGAAGCCGCCCUUAGAAUAUAAAUAUUGCUGGAUAUCCCUUCACUGGUUCUUUCCUUAUCAAUGCACAGGAUGAUUGUUCUUCUGAGGCAUGGGCUUUCCCAAGGAAAAGGCUUCUUAUCUAGGUUAUCACUGGAUGCUAUGUAGUGUCUGAAGGGCCACAAUCCAACAUAGAGUUAAGCCACAUGCUGAAGCCCAUUGCAAUCAAUACUAAGCAUGGUAAUGAGAAAAGUUAAAGUGUGCCGUUGAGUCGAUUUCGACUCCUGGUGCCCACAGAGCCCUGUGGUUUUCUUGGGUAGAAUACAGGAGGGGUUUACCAUUGCCAUCUCUCUCACAGCAUGAGGCGAUGCCUUUCAGCAUCUUCCUAUAUCGCUUCUGCCUGAUAUAGUACCAGCGGGGAUUCGAACUGGCAACCUUCUGCUUGUUGUAAUGAGAAUUUGGCCCUUAUUCCCAAAUAAGGAUUGGUUCACAAGCAGUGCCUUGGCACAUGUGAAUGGAUCGUCACAGAAAUGGACAGAUUGUUUCAUAUCAACUCUCAACAACACAAACAUAAUGGCUGAUAUCCUCACGGAAGAAGUCGACGUAUGCCAGGAAGACAUGCCCAUGCUUGUGGAGAGCUUCACAAAUACCAGAGUAUGGAGGGGGGGGGGGGCAAUUUUCUGUGAUCUCUGCUUCCCCCAGAAAUGCCUUGUGCAACACAAAAAUAUAUCCCUGAAGGCCACGUGACCCUCAGGGACAUAUUUUCAAGCAGCUCAGAGUAUUUCUAGGGAAAGCAGAGAUUGGAGAAAAUCCCCCAGCCCCAGCACCGUGCAGCUAAGAAAGCUCUCUGCAGCAUGGGUGUGUCUUCCUGGCACAUAUCUGCUUUCAUAGUAAGCAUGUCAGCCAACUUUUUCAAUAAAGCCAAUUCACACAUUCAGCUGCCAGCCAUCAAGCAUACGGCAAUCAAGCCUAAAGAAAUCAAAUGAUGAACAUGCUUGUAUGAACCCGUCCUAAGUGAAUGGAAGGCUGGAGCUAAAUGCCCCGGGGAUUUGUUGCAGGUGAAUUGGUUUUGAUAUGCAGAUCAAAGUUGCCCAGUACAAAGGCGUCUCCAGACAUAUCACAGGAGGUUUUUCAGGCUUUACUGCGAGUUCAGGGCACAACAAAUACUCUGACACAAAAAUACCCCGGACCUAAAUCAAGCUAGGUUCCCAGUACGGAGGGGGAAACCCAAAUCAUGUGUGAAGUGCUCUCUGAAGUAUCACAUGGACUUUGGGGUAAAUCUGGCCAAUAUGUGAACACAAACCCAGCCUCCCAAAGUAAAGCUGUGGUAAAGUCGCCGUCUGAAAAAGCUCCUGGAGGAGAUAGCUCUUUGCAUGCAUUUGUCUGGAUAGGCAUGGCUGUCUCCUUUACUGUACUAUGGAGACACAUCAUUUACGUACCACCACAUCGUGGCUGUGGUGGGUGCGGAAGACCUUGCUUGCAGCAACACCGCGCACACAUUGUGUGCCCUGGGCUCUGGAAUGGAGGAGGAGGUUAGCUUGCUAGAGGCAGUCCAUGGAAGAGAACAGAGUACUCUGUUGCGUUCUGUGGAAACAUCAAGAUCUGGCUGGUGUCAAUGAUAGGGAAAUAUAAGGAGAGGUGGAUGAAUGGGCAGGGCGGUGGCUAGGCCAUAAUUCUAUGGGAGUGCAAAAAGGAAGGAGGGGGAAAGGGCACCAAAUUCAUCAUACUUAAAACUCCCAGCAGCUUCUUUUUUAAAAAAAAGUAGGUUUCUAGAAUUGAGACAAUCUUCUAGACUGAGAAGAAUAUGAAUAUGAUGGAUAUUUAUAUACCGCUUUUCAACAAAAGUCCCCAAAGCGGUUUACAAAUAAAUGAAUGAAUGAAUGAAUGAAUAAAAUGGUUCCCUGUCCCCAAAGGACUCACAGUCUAAAAAGAUAAUCUGGAAAGCAUGUAGACUAGACAAUGCUUUCUGAACUCAGAGGACAGCUGAAUAAGAUUUCCAAUGCGGCAGUGUUUCAGGGUCCUGGAUUACUUUCCCCCCUAUGUCUAGCAAAGCCACAGUAAAUAACACCAACAGGAUAGACGCCUAUGGAAUAAAUGCUGCAAAAUCAGAGAAAUAAAUGUAAAUUUGCUCCAUUUGGAGUCAUUGACACGGGCCACAAAAUCCUGCAUUUUUUGGAGCGGAAUGUAGAUUGCCUGGGAGCAGCAUGCAGUGUGUGCAUGCGCACACACACAUCCCAGAGCCCUGACUAUGCGUAAAGGUUCUUAUGGAACCUUUGCAAUGCAGUUGCUGCUUCCGCGUGGUUGGAUCCUACAGCACUCCCAUAACUAGGGUUGCCAACUGGUGGUAGUUGUUGUUUCAGAUGAUCCGUAAAUUAAUAUAUUUACAUAUAAGUUGAUAUAACCAUUCCUCAGAGUGGACUGCAAAGAGUGCAUGUGUAUGUCAUAGCAGGCAUCAUUUGGGGGGCCAUAUGAAACAUGACAUGGGGGUUCUGUGACUUGAUCCACUGACAUUUGUUUCCUCUUUCAAAAAGCAGCCAGCGGGCAGUUGGAUUUGGGCCAUGGGGGUGGAAGAGGUGGAGCAGUGGAUUGGUACCACAGGGUGGGGUUCCCACAUCUUUCCCCCAUGUGAUCACUCCACUCCAAAUUGCCAUUUAAGCCUGUUAUUAAAGACAGAGAAGAAAAGAAAGAAUGUGCCUGUAAAUUUCCUCCUGCUAACUAGGCAAAGAGGUACCUUUCAAAGUGGUGAUUAUCUUAUUUCUAGCAGGGGGAGGGAAACCGGCACAGCAUCCCUCCAAUGGCUGUGGUUGGUGCCAACCUUAUGUUUAUUUUUAGACUGUGAGCCGUUUGGUGGACAGGGAACCAUCUUUUCCCUAUUAUUCUUGUUUAAUGUAAACUGCUUUGAGAACUUUUUCAUUGAAAAGCGGUAUAUAAGCAGCAGCAGCAGUAGCAAGUUUCCACCUCCCAACUAACAGCACCUUCAAGGGGAAUUUCAGGUGGCCCCACACAGUAGCCCCAAUCCAAAUCACAUACCCCUGACAGGUUUAAAAACGUAAAAGGAGUUCCAGUCACAAAACUCCCACAGCAAAGCCCUUCAGUGGCCUUUGCUCCUAUUUGAGAGAGAAAGAAAAAUGUCAUAUGAAGUUGUUAUACAAACAUUAUUAUUUAAAAUAUGCUCCCUGAUUAAUCAGGGGCAUCUCUUUUGCUGAUCUUUUUUUAAAAACAAAAAACCGAUUAACCAGUUACUCAAAUGUUGCAGCCCUACUAAUAACAUUCUGGAUGGUAUGAUAGCAGUGCAUCCCUUUGUGGACCUCUAACUCUGUCACCCGCCUGUCAGUUUGACCUGACCAUGUGGCAGCAGCAACUAUUCUGCACAGAUAACAUAAAAACUGGCCCCGAGGAAAGCAGUUGUUCUGCAAAGAGAUUAGGAACACCCACCAUGAAGAAGAGCUGGCAUGAUGAACUCUUGGCAGGGCAGGACACAGUCCCUACGGCCUGGAAACAAACUGUUUGGACAUGUUCAGCAAAUGUUUUACUUGACUUGCACUAAUUGCUGUAGAACAGGAUAUUAUUAGACUCUUUUCUUUUGAUUUAUUUUGGGGCUUGGGGCAGGAAGGAAUUUGCAACUCCCAAUGGUUAACAAGGCGUCAGUCCUGUAAACAUACCUGUUGCACAUUUUUAGAACCCAUGGACAAAAUAAAAUAGUAUCUGAAAUCA